Molecule: ribosomal RNA, 253 nt
Filed under: uncultured bacterium
Lineage: Bacteria
Description: partial 16S ribosomal RNA
Rfam family: Bacterial small subunit ribosomal RNA
Source: RNAcentral
UACGUAGGGUGCGAGCGUUGUCCGGAAUUAUUGGGCGUAACGAGCUCGUAGGCGGUCUGUCGCGUCGGCUGUGAAAACCCGGAGCUCAACUCCGGGCCUGCAGUCGAUACGGGCAGGCUUGAGUUCGGUAGGGGAGACUGGAAUUCCUGGUGUAGCGGUGAAAUGCGCAGAUAUCAGGAGGAACACCGGUGGCGAAGGCGGGUCUCUGGGCCGAUACUGACGCUGAGGAGCGAAAGCGUGGGGAGCGAACAGG